GACGUAGGGCGCGAGCGUUGUCCGGAUUUAUUGGGCAUAAAGAGCUCGUAGGCGGCUUGUCGCGUCGUUCGUGAAAACCCGGGGCUCAACUCCGGGCUUGCGGGCGAUACGGGCAGGCUAGAGUUCGGUAGGGGAGACUGGAAUUCCUGGUGUAGCGGUGAAAUGCGCAGAUAUCAGGAGGAACACCGGUGGCGAAGGCGGGUCUCUGGGCCGUAACUGACGCUGAGGAGCGAAAGCGUGGGGAGCGAACAGG
Molecule: ribosomal RNA, 253 nt
Filed under: uncultured bacterium
Lineage: Bacteria
Description: partial 16S ribosomal RNA
Rfam family: Bacterial small subunit ribosomal RNA
Source: RNAcentral